This 520-nucleotide ribosomal RNA is filed under the name uncultured bacterium. Its description in RNAcentral is "bacterial SSU rRNA". It matches the Rfam family "Bacterial small subunit ribosomal RNA", at positions 120 to 674 of the family's 1533-position model. The record is from RNAcentral.
GGGAAUCUACCUUUUGCUACGGAAUAACUCAGGGAAACUUGUGCUAAUACCGUAUGUGCCCUUCGGGGGAAAGAUUUAUCGGCAAAGGAUGAGCCCGCGUUGGAUUAGCUAGUUGGUGGGGUAAAGGCCCACCAAGGCGACGAUCCAUAGCUGGUCUGAGAGGAUGAUCAGCCACACUGGGACUGAGACACGGCCCAGACUCCUACGGGAGGCAGCAGUGGGGAAUAUUGGACAAUGGGCGCAAGCCUGAUCCAGCCAUGCCGCGUGAGUGAUGAAGGCCCUAGGGUUGUAAAGCUCUUUCACCGGUGAAGAUAAUGACGGUAACUGGAGAAGAAGCCCCGGCUAACUUCGUGCCAGCAGCCGCGGUAAUACGAAGGGGGCUAGCGUUGUUCGGAUUUACUGGGCGUAAAGCGCACGUAGGCGGACUUUUAAGUCAGGGGUGAAAUCCCAGAGCUCAACUCAGGAACUGCCUUUGAUACUGGAAGUCUUGAGUAUGGUAGAGGUGAGUGGAAUUCCGAGU